AUGGCCUACCGCCGGAAGCAGCAGGGGCCCGUCGCCUCCGACGACCGCCGGACUCCCCAACCCCAGAGUUUGGCUGCUUCGUCGUACAACUACACGUCGAUGGAUAGCAUGCGUGAGCCUAAGGUUGGAUUGUGGGGAGCAUUGGCAAGAAAGGCCAAGGGGAUUCUCGAUGAGGAUGCUGCUGCUCACAAGUUCGAUGACCAUGGGAAAGUUCAAAGUGCCACUCGCAAGCCCAACUUAUCGGAUGGAGCUCAGGCCCCUCAAUCUCGUUGGCCAUUCGACAGCUAUGGAGGGACAGAAAGGAGCGAACCGCGGAAGAGGUCAGAGGCACUUGCCGCUUCUGUCAACCAGUUUGGUGGAAGAAUCAGAAACGCCUUGGAGGAAGGUCUCAUUAUUGUUGAUAAUAAGACAUCAAACAUCAUCGAGGAAACAAAGAAGAUACAAAUUAGAAGAAAGCCUGACAGUUCCAGUUUGCAUAUGCAGAAUCCUGCUGCAGAUGCAUUCCCCCCUCCGAGUUUCACACUGAAUAAAGCUGAGGCAGCCCAGGAGACCCAGUUAAAAGCUUCUCGCGACGUUGCUAAUGCGAUGGCUGCUAAAGCAAAACUUGUACUUCGUGAACUAAAAACCGUUAAAGCGGACCUAGCCUUUGCGAAGCAGCGCUGCACUCAGCUAGAAGAAGAGAACAAAAUGUUGCGUGAAACUAAGCAGAAAGGGGUCAAAAUUGAAGAGGAUGAUGACCUGAUCCGCAUGCAACUGGAGACAUUACUCGCCGAGAAAUCAAGGCUGGCACAGGAGAACUCCAUGUAUGCCCGUGAAAAUCGCUUCCUGCGUGAAAUAGUAGAUUUUCACCAGUUCGCCGCCCACAAUGUCGUCUCCUUUGCUGAUGGCAAUAUGAAAGACAGCAAGCUAGAAGAAGAUACCAAUCGCGCAUACACUGAAAACAUGUUUCCGGUGGUUGAAGCCUAUUUAGCUCAGGAAGAAGUAUCUCCUGUCCCCUCGAGACCGGAUUCUCCGAUCCUCAGCCAAGGCGAGUCAUCAUCCCCAGUAUCCAUCAUUUCUGUAGAUAAUGCUGCUAAUUCGCCGAGGAACGCCUUGAAGCCAAAUGAGUUGGUGCCUGACAAAGAUUGA
This 1128-nucleotide ribosomal RNA is filed under the name Triticum aestivum (bread wheat). Its description in RNAcentral is "partial small subunit ribosomal RNA". The record is from RNAcentral. Lineage: Eukaryota; Viridiplantae; Streptophyta; Magnoliopsida; Poales; Poaceae.